This 374-nucleotide ribosomal RNA is filed under the name uncultured eukaryote. Its description in RNAcentral is "partial 18S ribosomal RNA". It matches the Rfam family "Eukaryotic small subunit ribosomal RNA", at positions 592 to 975 of the family's 1831-position model. The record is from RNAcentral.
CAAUAGCGUAUAUUAAAGUUGUUGCGGUUAAAAAGCUCGUAGUUGGAUUUCGGUUAAGAGCGACCGGUCCGCCGUUUGGUGUGCACUGGUUGGUUUUAACUUCCUGUAGAGGACGUGCUCUGGGUUUAACGACCUGGACUCGGAGUCUACGUGGUUACUUUGAAAAAAUUAGAGUGUUCAAAGCGGGCUUACGCUUGAAUAUUUCAGCAUGGAAUAACACUAUAGGACUCCUGUCCUAUUUCGUUGGUCUCGGGACGGGAGUAAUGAUUAAGAGGAACAGUUGGGGGCAUUCGUAUUUCAUUGUCAGAGGUGAAAUUCUUGGAUUUAUGAAAGACGAACUUCUGCGAAAGCAUUUGCCAAGGAUGUUUUCAUUA